UUUUUUUUUUUUUUUUUUUUUUUUUCUCCUC
Molecule: non-coding RNA, 31 nt
Filed under: Prorocentrum micans
Lineage: Eukaryota; Dinophyceae; Prorocentrales; Prorocentraceae
Source: RNAcentral